Molecule: ribosomal RNA, 665 nt
Filed under: uncultured Micromonosporaceae bacterium
Lineage: Bacteria; Bacillati; Actinomycetota; Actinomycetes; Micromonosporales; Micromonosporaceae
Description: bacterial SSU rRNA
Rfam family: Bacterial small subunit ribosomal RNA
Source: RNAcentral
CUUUGGGAUAACCCUCGGAAACGGGGGCUAAUACCGAAUAUUACUGCUGGUCGCAUGGCUGGUGGUGGAAAGUUUUUCGGCUUGGGAUGGGCUCGCGGCCUAUCAGCUUGUUGGUGGGGUGAUGGCCUACCAAGGCGACGACGGGUAGCCGGCCUGAGAGGGCGACCGGCCACACUGGGACUGAGACACGGCCCAGACUCCUACGGGAGGCAGCAGUGGGGAAUAUUGCACAAUGGGCGGAAGCCUGAUGCAGCGACGCCGCGUGAGGGAUGACGGCCUUCGGGUUGUAAACCUCUUUCAGCAGGGACGAAGCGUAAGUGACGGUACCUGCAGAAGAAGCACCGGCCAACUACGUGCCAGCAGCCGCGGUAAGACGUAGGGUGCGAGCGUUGUCCGGAUUUAUUGGGCGUAAAGAGCUCGUAGGCGGCUUGUCGCGUCGACCGUGAAAACUUGGGGCUCAACCCCAAGCCUGCGGUCGAUACGGGCAGGCUAGAGUUCGGUAGGGGAGACUGGAAUUCCUGGUGUAGCGGUGAAAUGCGCAGAUAUCAGGAGGAACACCGGUGGCGAAGGCGGGUCUCUGGGCCGAUACUGACGCUGAGGAGCGAAAGCGUGGGGAGCGAACAGGAUUAGGUACCCCGGUAGUCCACGCUGUAAACGUUGGGCGC